RNAcentral lists this long non-coding RNA (501 nucleotides) under Fukomys damarensis (Damara mole-rat). RNAcentral's name for it is "lncRNA (ENSFDAG00000025799.1)". The record is from RNAcentral. Lineage: Eukaryota; Metazoa; Chordata; Mammalia; Rodentia; Bathyergidae.
CUCAUGGUUGCACUGGAGUUCACCUUCCCUCCUGAGACACUCUUCAAGCACAGGAAGACCACAGUCUUGGGCGACAUGACGAAAAUGAGGUUCUUGUCUUGGGAAAAUGAAGAUUGAAGGUGUCAAAACAGAAAACAGCAAGUAAGCUAUAGAGAGUGAUCAAAUACAUGUUUAUUAAAAAGAAUAAAAAGGAAGAACCAGAAGAGAUUUAGAAUAGCAAAAGCAAUUCAAGGCAACAAAAACACGAUGAGGGAUAUCACAAUCCCCACCUUGAAACUAUACUACAAAGCCACUGUGAUAAAAACAGUAUAGUACUGGCAAAGAAACAGACCCAAGGAUCAGUGGAAUAGAUUAGAAGAUUCAGAAAAAACUGCAGACAUACUCAACCACCGCAUCUUUGACAAAGGAGCUAACCAUCCUUACUUGAGGAAAGAUAGACUAUUUAAUAAAUGGCAUUAGAAAAACUGGAUUUCAAUCUGCCAAAGAUUAAAACUAGACCCA